CAGCCGCGCGGUAAUACAGAGGGUGCGAGCGUUAAUCGGAUUUACUGGGCGUAAAGCGUGCGUAGGCGGCUUCUUAAGUCGGAUGUGAAAUCCCUGAGCUUAACUUAGGAAUUGCAUUCGAUACUGGGAAGCUAGAGUAUGGGAGAGGAUGGUAGAAUUCCAGGUGUAGCGGUGAAAUGCGUAGAGAUCUGGAGGAAUACCGAUGGCGAAGGCAGCCAUCUGGCCUAAUACUGACGCUGAGGUACGAAAGCAUGGGGAGCAAACAGGAUUAGAUACCCCUGUAGUCCCUGUCUCUUAUACA
This 301-nucleotide ribosomal RNA is filed under the name uncultured bacterium. Its description in RNAcentral is "partial 16S ribosomal RNA". It matches the Rfam family "Bacterial small subunit ribosomal RNA", at positions 509 to 808 of the family's 1533-position model. The record is from RNAcentral.